This 468-nucleotide ribosomal RNA is filed under the name uncultured bacterium. RNAcentral's name for it is "partial 16S ribosomal RNA". It matches the Rfam family "Bacterial small subunit ribosomal RNA", at positions 28 to 507 of the family's 1533-position model. The record is from RNAcentral.
GACGAACGCUGGCGGCGUGCUUAACACAUGCAAGUCGAACGGAAAGGCCCUGCUUUUGUGGGGUGCUCGAGUGGCGAACGGGUGAGUAACACGUGAGUAACCUGCCCUUGACUUUGGGAUAACUUCAUGAAACUGGGGCUAAUACCGGAUAGGAGCUCCUGCUGCAUGGUGGGGGUUGGUUAGUUUCGGCGGUUGGGGAUGGACUCGCGGCUUAUCAGCUUGUUUGUGGGGUAGUGGCUUACCAAGGCUUUGACGGGUAGCCGGCCUGAGAGGGUCACCGGCCACAUUGGGACUGAGAUACGGCCCAGACUCCUACGGGAGGCAGGAGUGGGGAAUAUAGCACAAUGGGCGGAAGGCUGAUGCAGAAAAGCAGCGUGGGGGAUGAAGGCAUUGGGGUUGUAAACCACUUUCGCAUGUGACGAAGCGUGAGUGACGGUAAUGGGUAAAGAAGCACCGGCUAACUACGUG